GGGGGGAGCGAGCGUUGUUCGGAAUCACUGGGCGUAAAGGGCGCGUAGGCGGCCGGAUAAGUCGUGUGUGAAAGACCGGGGCUCAACUCCGUGUAUUGCAUGCGAUACUGCCCGGCUAGAGUAAGGUAGAGGCGAGUGGAAUUCCCGGUGUAGCGGUGGAAUGCGUAGAUAUCGGGAAGAACACCUGUGGCGAAGGCGGCUCGCUGGGCCUUUUCUGACGCUGAAGCGCGAAAGCGUGGGGAGCAAACAGGAUUAGAUACCCUGGUAGUCCACGCCGUAAACGAUGGGCACUAGGCGUUGGGAGGAUUGACCCUCUCAGUGCCGUAGCUAACGCGUUAAGUGCCCCCGCCUGGGGAUACGGCCGCAAGGCUG
Molecule: ribosomal RNA, 372 nt
Filed under: uncultured organism
Description: partial 16S ribosomal RNA
Rfam family: Bacterial small subunit ribosomal RNA
Source: RNAcentral